Long non-coding RNA from Oxyura jamaicensis (ruddy duck), 521 nucleotides. RefSeq lists it as uncharacterized. The transcript is spliced from 2 exons. The record is from RefSeq and is a predicted model, not a curated record. NCBI's taxonomy places the organism in Eukaryota, Metazoa, Chordata, Aves, Anseriformes, Anatidae.
GGUUCUUCCAGGUUUUCUUUCGUAGACGAAACCUGCAAAUAAAUAAUGGAGAAAACAGUAAGUUUUUGUCUGCUCGUAACCGCUUAGCAGUGCCACAGAAUUAAAAAUUGAUUUUUACUAUGGGCUAGGUUUAUCAGGUAUGAUUUUAACAUUCUGAAAUAAACCUGACAGCAAGGUAUCGCCAUUGACUGGUAGUAACCAAAUGGCAUCAACCAAAGAAAACAAGCCUGUGUAUGCUUGUUCAGUGUAAGAAAUAUAAAAGGACCUGGAGGAAGAUAGCAGUUUCUCAUGCAGUACAAGCAGAAUAUUCCCAAAGGCUUCCAACAGUUAUCCCUGCCUUUUUUUUUUUGAAGUGAUUGUGGAAGAAGCAUGGAGAAGGAGGAGGAUAAGAGCACUGAUAUAUGGUUUAUGUACUUAGCUCUACUGCAUCAAUACAGUCACUAGAUAAAAUAAAUAAGCUUUGGAUACUGGUAAAUAAUGACACGAACAACUAAAAUUAGAUUGAACGAAGUAAAAAAUUA